UGGGGAAUCUUGCACAAUGGGGGAAACCCUGAUGCAGCGACGCCGCGUGAGCGAUGAAGGUUUUCGAAUCGUAAAGCUCUGUCCUAUGGGAAGAUAAUGACGGUACCAUGGGAGGAAGCCCCGGCUAACUACGUGCCAGCAGCCGCGGUAAUACGUAGGGGGCGAGCGUUGUCCGGAAUUACUGGGCGUAAAGGGUUCGCAGGCGGCAUGGCAAGUCCGAUGUAAAAGGCGAAGGCUCAACCUUCGUAAGCAUCGGAAACUGUCAAGCUUGAGUGAAGGAGAGGCAAGUGGAAUUCCUAGUGUAGCGGUGGAAUGCGUAGAUAUUAGGAGGAAUACCGGUGUCGAAGGCGACUUGCUGGACUUCAACUGACGCUGAGGAACGAAAGCGUGGGUAGCAAACAGG
Molecule: ribosomal RNA, 403 nt
Filed under: Fusobacteriota bacterium
Lineage: Bacteria; Fusobacteriati; Fusobacteriota
Description: Fusobacteria bacterium partial 16S ribosomal RNA
Rfam family: Bacterial small subunit ribosomal RNA
Source: RNAcentral